This 1830-nucleotide ribosomal RNA is filed under the name Candidatus Terrybacteria bacterium RIFCSPHIGHO2_01_FULL_43_35. RNAcentral describes it as "bacterial SSU rRNA". It matches the Rfam family "Bacterial small subunit ribosomal RNA". RNAcentral also lists the same sequence under 1 other name. The record is from RNAcentral. Lineage: Bacteria; Candidatus Terryibacteriota.
UUUUCAUUGAGAGUUUGAUCCUGGCUCAGGAUGAACGCUGGCGGCGUGGAUAAGGCAUGCAAGUCGAGCGAGCCAGUGUUUCACACUGGAAAUUUCAAGAAACAAGAAACAAUAACCAGACAAUAUUCAAUAAUCAAUCUUUAAUAUCCAAACACGUUUUGGAAUUUGAGAGUUGUGAUUUGGAAUUUGUUUGUAACUUGUAUCUUGGUGUUUGGAGAUUCCAGCGUGGAACGCUGGUUAGCGGCGAACGAGUCAGUAUUACCUUGGUACUUACCCCAGAGACGGGAAUAACACCGCGAAAGCGGUGCUAAUACCCGAUAGUCCCAACACAAUUUUUUGCGAGAAAGCAAGAAAAUUUUUUCGCAAAAAUUUGUGUUGGGUAAAGAUGCAAAUCACUUUGGGAGAGGCCUCGGUCUGAUCAGCUAGUUGGUAGGGUAACGGCCUACCAAGGCUACGACCAGUAGGGGGUGUGAGAGCAUGACCCCCGACGAGGGAACUGAGACACGGUCCCUACUCCUACGGGAGGCAGCAGUCGAGAAUAUUCGACAAUGGGCGAAAGCCUGAUCGAGCGACGCCGCGUGGAGGAAGAAGCCCUUCGGGGUGUAAACUCCUUUUCAUCAGGAAGAAGUCGUGUCGCUACGCGACACUCAAACGUAAAGCUAAAAGCAAAAAUAGUAAAAGUUUGGUAUAGCCCUUCGGGCGAUUAUAAUCCGCCGAAGGCGGUUACCAAAAUUUUGCAUUUUGACUUUUGCAUUUUGAUUUUGAGUGCUGCGCAGCGGCACGAUUGACGGUACUGGUGGAAUAAGAGGUUGCUAACUCUGUGCCAGCAGCCGCGGUAAUACAGAGACCUCGAGCGUUAUCCGGAUUUAUUGGGCGUAAAGCGUCUGCAGGUGGUAAGGAAAGUUCAUGGUUAAAGACCCGGGCUCAACCCGGGGAGUGCCGUGAAAACUACCUUGCUUUGAGGACAUGAGAGGCUACUAGAACUUACGGUGUAGGGGUGAAAUCCGUUGAUACCGUAGGGAAUACCAAGGGCGAAGGCAUGUAGCUGGCGUGCUCCUAACACUCAGAGACGAAAGCGUGGGUCGCGAAUGGGAUUAGAUACCCCAGUAGUCCACGCCCUAAACUAUGGAUGCUAGCUGUGGGGAGUAUCGACCCUCUCCGCGGCGAAGCUAACGCAUUAAGCAUCCCGCCUGGGAAGUACGGCCGCAAGGCUAAAACUCAAAGGAAUAGACGGGGACUUGCACAAGCGGUGGAGCAUGUGGUUCAAUUCGACAAUAACCGAGGAACCUUACCAGGGCUUGAAAUCCUAACGAAAUCUUUCCGAAAGGUUAGACCUCUCACAAGGACGGUAGGACAGGCGCUGCAUGGUUGUCGUCAGCUCGUGUCGUGAGAUGUUCCGUUCAGUCGGGUAACGAGCGCAACCCCUGUCGUGUGUUAUUUGUGUCACACGAGACUGCCCCGGCCAACGGGGAGGAAGGUGGGGACGACGUCAAAUCAGCAUGGCCCUCUGAUGCCCUGGGCCACACACGUGCUACAGUGGCCGAUACAAAGGGUUGCGAAGCAGCAAUGCGGAGCUAAUCCCUAAAAACCGGCCUCGGUUCGGAUUGAGGGCUGCAAUUCGCCCUCAUGAAGACGGAAUCGCUAGUAAUCGCGCAUCAGAAUGGCGCGGUGAAUACGUUCUCAAGUCUUGUACUCACCGCCCGUCAAGUCAGUGAAGCCGGCAGCACCCGAAUGUCCACAUUUGUGGGAACACGGUGAGGUCGGUGACAAGGACUAAGUCGUAACAAGGCAGCCGUAGCGGAAGCUGUGGCUGGAUCACCUCCUUUCUAG